This is a long non-coding RNA of Papio anubis (olive baboon), 1744 nucleotides long. NCBI's taxonomy places the organism in Eukaryota, Metazoa, Chordata, Mammalia, Primates, Cercopithecidae. The record is from Ensembl.
AAGGAUCAUUUGUUGAACUCAGUCACUGUGCUGUGAAAAAAGCCAACAUUUCCAAUGAAGAGACCACAUGGAGAAACAUGUAGAGAGGAACCAAGGCCCCUAGCUGAUAGCCAGCAUUAGCCAUCAAGCAUGUGAAUGAAUGAACCUUCAGAUGAUUCCUGCUCUCUGUCAUUGAGUCUUCCACUUGUGACCCCAGACAUGGUAGAGGAGAUACAAGCCAUCUUCACCGUGCCUGUUUGGAUUCCUGAGUCACAGAAGUUGUGAAAGAUAAGUGAUUAUUGUUGCUUUAAGUCACUAUGUUUUGUGGUAAUUUGUUACUCAGUGAUAGAUAAUGAAUACACUUGUACUUGGUAGACUGGAGCAGUGACUUGUAAUGUAUAUAUUUUUAAAUCAUAGAUUCAUUAGAAAAUUUGAUGAAAACUGAAGUGACCUCCAUGACCCCCACAUUCUGGUGUUCAUACCCAUGUAUAAUCUCCUUCUCUUAGGUGUGGGCAGGACAUUUGGCUUGCUUAUAACCAAUAGAAUAUGGCAAAGGCUUUGAGCUGUCACUUCAGUGAUUAUGUUAGCUUAUAUAAGACUUUCUCUUGCUAGCAGACUCACUCUAGCGUCUUGCUUUCCUGGUUUGUUUUGAUGAACCAAGCUGCCAUGAAUCUUACAACCACAAGGAAAUGAAUUCUGCCAACACCCAGAGUAAACUUGUAAGCAGACCCCAGUUGAGCCUGAAGAUGAGAACAGAGGCCUAGCUCACACCUUGAUGGCAACGUCACAGAGAACAUUGCUAAGCCAUGCAUAGACUUACUGACCCACCUCAACCAACUGUGAGAUAAUAAAUGCCCUGACUAAUCCACUGCCUUAUAGGAUUAUUGGGAGGACCAAUGAAACUUUUGCACAUAAAGCCUUUGGAAUAGUGCAGACACAGAGAAUCAUACAGGAUGAAUCCGAAAGAGAAGACAACAUAGAUAGGAAUGAGAACCUGUUAAGAGGCCAUUGCUACAGUUCAAACAAGAGGACUGGAGAUAAAAAAUCAGAAAAAGAAGAGGUUUCUCUAUGUUUACCAGGCUGGUCUCAAGCUCCUGUCCUCAAGUGAUCAAGUGAUCCUCCUGCCUCAGCCUCUGAAAGUGUUGGUAUUACAGCAUGAGCCACUGUGCCUGGCCCUCAAAGGACUGUGCAAAGCUGAAGCUACUCCAAGAUGGGAAGAACUGCUUCAAUGGGAAGUGAGCUGCCCAUCACCAGAGGCAUUGAAGCAGAGGCAAGAGAUAUUCAUCAAUCCACUAUAAUUUUGGAGCUUACCACUACACUGAACAUAAUGUGGCCAAGAACCAACUGAACUUUAUAUUGCAAACACCAACAGGACAUUCUUGAGACCUUAUUUUACUUGAUCUUUCUGCAGUGUUCAAGGCUACUGGCCACACUACUCCUUUUUAAAAACUGUGUUUCCUUGAUUUCUAAAAUACCACUGUCUCCCACUUCCACUGGUUUAAAGUUUCAGACUGCUUAUUUGAUACCUACUUCAUAGAGUCUUUACUGUCUGGUUAUACUGGUUUGUCUGAGGUUAAUCUUUAGCUCGUUUUUCUUCUACAUGUACAUACUCUCUCUGACUGAUCUUAUUCAUGCAGUUUCAUUUUUACCUGUAUGCAAAUGAUUCCCAACAUCAAUUGUACAGACUUCUUUCUUGAGCUCCAGAUCCAUGUAUGGCAGAAUAAAAUGUUUGAAUGUGAUAGUAUUUACAGACUCCUCUCAUUCA